GUAAGUAUAUUUCUCUAUCAAACAUUUCUAUAAUAACCUCAAUGGUGUUUUAUUACGACGAUGACAUUAAUUGUUCUUUUUCUUUUUCUGUUUCAGAACAUCAUUGCAAUCGAGCGCGUAGGCAAUGAAAUACUCGUGUGUUGCUUCGUUAAAAUAAUAUAUAAAAAAGUCGGAAAGUAGAAUCAGUGUUAAUCGUCGUACGUGACAGUUUCGUUUGCUCGGUUAUGAAACUCCGUAAGUUUCUUUUUUUAGACGUGUGCCCAUCGUCAUCCUAAGGGUAGGAGACCCAUCGUGCAUUCAUCGAUGGAGACACGAAAUUACAAUCGUGCGCGAAGCAAUAUACGGGAGUGUUGUUAUAUCGUUUAAAUAUUAUUAAAAGCACGGAUUAUAGAAGCACGUUCGUUCGUCAAUUGCAAUUCGUUCGUGUUACGCGAUUGUAUUAAAAAUAUUUCAUAUUAAAUUGACUGCGACCAAAGCAGUAACUGCAUUAGACUUUAUUCGAAAAAAGUUAUAUUUUUAUCUUUAAACAGUCGCACAGACUGUUCGCGUAUUAGAGUAAGUGCAUCAAUGAAGAUUUGGAUACUUGCAUUGACUGUGUGCAAAGCAGUCUUUGGAAGCAGUUGUAGAGUCAGUGAUCGGGCGCAUAAUAAAUUAAAAUUAAACGCGARUUAGAUUCAGUGUUGUUCGUCGUAUAAUUUAAUUUCGGUUUCGCGAUAAGAAACUCAUCUAUAGUUUCUUAUUUUCGUUCAUAACGCGUUAUUAGAUUCACGYGAGAKGCAYCACCAUGAUGCCACUGAGCUGCAUCCCAUUGGAAUGCAUUAUAUGACAACGGACUUUCAUGUGGGAUGAAUUCUUC
Long non-coding RNA from Polistes canadensis, 856 nucleotides. RefSeq lists it as uncharacterized. The transcript has 3 exons. The record is from RefSeq and is a predicted model, not a curated record. Lineage: Eukaryota; Metazoa; Arthropoda; Insecta; Hymenoptera; Vespidae.